GGCGGGACACGUGGUAUCCUGUCUGAAUAUGGGGGGACCAUCCUCCAAGGCUAAAUACUCCUGACUGACCGAUAGUGAACCAGUACCGUGAGGGAAAGGCGAAAAGAACCCCGGCGAGGGGAGUGAAAAAGAACCUGAAACCGUGUACGUACAAGCAGUGGGAGCACGCUUAGGCGUGUGACUGCGUACCUUUUGUAUAAUGGGUCAGCGACUUAUAUUCUGUAGCAAGGUUAACCGAAUAGGGGAGCCGAAGGGAAACCGAGUCUUAACUGGGCGUUAAGUUGCAGGGUAUAGACCCGAAACCCGGUGAUCUAGCCAUGGGCAGGUUGAAGGUUGGGUAACACUAACUGGAGGACCGAACCGACUAAUCUUGAAAAAUUAGCGGAUGACUUGUGGCUGGGGGUGAAAGGCCAAUCAAACCGGGAGAUAGCUGGUUCUCCCCGAAAGCUAUUUAGGUAGCGCCUCGUGAAUUCAUCUCCGGGGGUAGAGCACUGUUUCGGCAAGGGGGUCAUCCCGACUUACCAACCCGAUGCAAACUGCGAAUACCGGAGAAUGUUAUCACGGGAGACACACGGCGGGUGCUAACGUCCGUCGUGAAGAGGGAAACAACCCAGACCGCCAGCUAAGGUCCCAAAGUCAUGGUUAAGUGGGAAACGAUGUGGGAAGGCCCAGACAGCCAGGAUGUUGGCUUAGAAGCAGCCAUCAUUUAAAGAAAGCGUAAUAGCUCACUGGUCGAGUCGGCCUGCGCGGAAGAUGUAACGGGGCUAAACCAUGCACCGAAGCUGCGGCAGCGACGCUUAUGCGUUGUUGGGUAGGGGAGCGUUCUGUAAGCCUGCGAAGGUGUGCUGUGAGGCAUGCUGGAGGUAUCAGAAGUGCGAAUGCUGACAUAAGUAACGAUAAAGCGGGUGAAAAGCCCGCUCGCCGGAAGACCAAGGGUUCCUGUCCAAC
RNAcentral lists this ribosomal RNA (948 nucleotides) under Enterococcus faecalis. RNAcentral describes it as "bacterial LSU rRNA". It matches the Rfam family "Bacterial large subunit ribosomal RNA", at positions 416 to 1363 of the family's 2925-position model. Lineage: Bacteria; Bacillati; Bacillota; Bacilli; Lactobacillales; Enterococcaceae. The record is from RNAcentral.